This 460-nucleotide ribosomal RNA is filed under the name uncultured bacterium. RNAcentral describes it as "partial 16S ribosomal RNA". It matches the Rfam family "Bacterial small subunit ribosomal RNA", at positions 338 to 795 of the family's 1533-position model. The record is from RNAcentral.
CCUACGGGAGGCAGCAGUGAGGAAUAUUGGUCAAUGGGCGCGAGCCUGAACCAGCCAAGUAGCGUGAAGGAUGACUGCCCUACGGGUUGUAAACUUCGUUUAUAAAGUAAUAAAGUGAGGCACGUGUGCCUUUUUGUAUGUACUUUAUUACUAAGGAUCGGCUAACUCCGUGCCAGCAGCCGCGGUAAUACGGAGGAUCCGAGCGUUAUCAGGAUUUAUUGGGUUUAAAGGGAGCGUAGAUGGUUUGUUAAGUCAGUUGUGAAAGUUUUCGGCUCAACCGUAAAAUUGCAAUUGAUACUGGCAGUCGUGAGUACAGGUGAGGUAGGCGGAAUUCGUGGUGUAGAGGUGAAAUGCUGAGAUAUCACGAAGAACUCCGAUUGCGAAGGCAGCUUACUAAACUGCCACUGACAUUGAUGCUCGAAAGUGUGGGUAUCAAACAGGAUUAGAUACCCCUGUAGUC